GCCGCCGUAGCUCAGGGGUAGAGCACACCCUUGGUAAGGGGUGGGGUCGGAGGUUCAAUUCCUCUCGGCGGCACCA
RNAcentral lists this transfer RNA (76 nucleotides) under Sphingomonadales bacterium. Its description in RNAcentral is "tRNA-Thr". It matches the Rfam family "tRNA". Rfam says of the family: Transfer RNA (tRNA) molecules are approximately 80 nucleotides in length. Their secondary structure includes four short double-helical elements and three loops (D, anti-codon, and T loops). The record is from RNAcentral. Lineage: Bacteria; Pseudomonadati; Pseudomonadota; Alphaproteobacteria; Sphingomonadales.